CUAACCAAGGAGAGAGGAAACUG
This 23-nucleotide non-coding RNA is filed under the name Cricetulus griseus (Chinese hamster). The record is from RNAcentral. Lineage: Eukaryota; Metazoa; Chordata; Mammalia; Rodentia; Cricetidae.